AUGUGGGAGAUCAUGACUUGCUGUGUCAUCUUGCACAACAUGAUCAUCGAGAGCGAGCAAGAAGAACCAGUGUUUGACACUGAACCAUACUACAGGCAGGGUCCUCUAGCCGAAGUUGAUCACCAGUUAGCGGCAACCUGGACUGCCUACCUCAGUAUGCGUCAGGAGAUCCGAGAAUCGCAGGUGCAUCAUCAGCUGCAGCGAUCUGGUGGAGCACCUAUGGAGGCUCAAGGGCGACGCCGGGCGCGACAUGUGAUGAAAUAUGAGUUUUUAUUUGUUGAACUAUAUAAUUUGUUUCGAACUAUUUGUUGUUGUACUAUUUUCUUGAAUUAUUUGAUUUUUCUGUGA
Molecule: ribosomal RNA, 348 nt
Filed under: Triticum aestivum (bread wheat)
Lineage: Eukaryota; Viridiplantae; Streptophyta; Magnoliopsida; Poales; Poaceae
Description: partial small subunit ribosomal RNA
Source: RNAcentral